CCUACGGGAGGCAGCAGUGGGGAAUCUUGCGCAAUGGGCGAAAGCCUGACGCAGCAACGCCGCGUGUGUGAUGAAGGUCUUCGGAUCGUAAAGCACUGUCGCGAGGGACGAAUAAGGUACGGGCGAACAGUCCGUGCCGAUGACGGUACCUCGAGAGGAAGCACCGGCUAACUCUGUGCCAGCAGCCGCGGUAAUA
This 196-nucleotide ribosomal RNA is filed under the name uncultured Anaeromyxobacter sp. RNAcentral describes it as "partial 16S ribosomal RNA". It matches the Rfam family "Bacterial small subunit ribosomal RNA", at positions 338 to 525 of the family's 1533-position model. Lineage: Bacteria; Pseudomonadati; Myxococcota; Myxococcia; Myxococcales; Anaeromyxobacteraceae. The record is from RNAcentral.